This 1163-nucleotide long non-coding RNA is filed under the name Homo sapiens (human). Its description in RNAcentral is "non-protein coding lnc-COL6A2-4:2". The record is from RNAcentral. Lineage: Eukaryota; Metazoa; Chordata; Mammalia; Primates; Hominidae.
ACACCUCCAGCCCUGUGACGGGCACUCAGGACCACCAAGGGCACUCAGGUGCAGAUGCCCCUGGGAGAACACCACCUUCAUUCAGCCCGGGCGGCCAGAUUAGGGGAAGGUUGCUUCUAGGAGAGAAAGUCUUGAGUCAGGCUUUGUGGAGAAAGGAGGUUUCUACACCCCAAGCGUUCCUGACACAACCCAACCAGCCUGGUGUUGCACCACAGGGCUCACACCUCAGAUCAAGACAACGGGGGCCCAGCCACAGCCCACUGACGAGGGCAUGCAGGGCGUCCAGGAUGCAGGGCAGAGAGAGAAGCGAGGGAUGAGUCACGGAUGCGCCCCCCGCUCUGAGCCCGACGGGGCCCUGAAUGGCUUUUCCUGCCCUGGCUCCUCCCAUCAUAUUUUAAAUGCCGUCUUCCUCCCGCUCCAAGGAAACCUUCUCUUGACGUCAGGUACUCUCCAGCCACGGACCUAUCAACAUUCUGACAGUUUUCUGGUCUUGACACAUUAUCCUUUUAAUAUAGCGCUGGAUUCAAUUUAUUAAUAUUUUAAGUAUUUUUAUGCUCACAGGGGAAGUCGAUCUGAAUCUCCUUUUCUUGUGAUGUCUCGGUCUGGCUUUGGAACACUGGCCUUUUAAAAUGAGCCGCAGAGAUUCUGCGCCAUUUUCUGGGUGUUCCUUCUUAAACGUCGGAUAGAAUUCAUCUGUGAAGCUAUCUAGAACUAGAUUUCUUCUGGAAAAGUUUUAAAUUUCUAAAUCAAUUUCUUAAAUAGAUACAACGCUACUUAUAUUUUAUAUUUUUCCCUCAUGUGCGUUUUGCUGACAAUUGUGGCUGUCAGGUAGUUUGUUGAUAAUAGGGGAGGCUGUGCAUUUGUUGGGGCAGCGAGUGGGGAAAUCUCUCUAUCUUCCUCUCAAUUUUGCUAAGAACCUAAAACUCCUCUUAAAAAAGUCUUGAAAAAGACAAAAGCACGAAGGAAACCAGAGAAUAUUUCAAGUUGAAUGAGAAUAAAAACAUGACAUUAGAAUUUGUGGGGUGUAGUUAAAGCUUGAUGCCCGUGCUCCACAACCACAGGAAAUGGACAAACCCUACCAAAGUUAUCAAAAGAGAAGGACACCCCAUCUGUAGAAAACAGUCAGAAGAUUAGGCAGAUGUGGUGGUGCGUGUCUGUUGUCC